CGUAUUGUGUGGUUAAUUCCGUUAACGAACGAGACCACAGCCUACUAAAUAGUACGUGUUAUGGUAACAUAGUAUGAGACUUCUUAGAGGGACAUUUCGGGUUUACCGAAAGGAAGUUUGUGGCAAUAACAGGUCUGUGAUGCCCUUAGAUGCUCUGGGCCGCACGCGCGCUACACUGACGACUUCAACAAGUUUUUUGGCAUUGCCAAAUUUCCUUGGCCGGAAGGUCUGGGUAAUCUUUUAAAAGGUCGUCGUGAUGGAGCUAGAUUCUUGCAAUUAUUAAUCUCCAACGAGGAACC
Molecule: ribosomal RNA, 299 nt
Filed under: Thraustochytriidae sp.
Lineage: Eukaryota; Bigyra; Thraustochytrida; Thraustochytriidae
Description: Thraustochytriaceae sp. partial small subunit ribosomal RNA
Rfam family: Eukaryotic small subunit ribosomal RNA
Source: RNAcentral